AGCCGACCUGAGAGCUUGAUCGGCCACAUUGCUACUGAGACACGGUCCAGACUCCUACGGGAGGCAGCAGUGGGGAAUAUUGCACAAUGGGCGAAAGCCUGAUGCAGCACGCCGCGUGAGUGAUGAAGGCCUUCGGGUUGUAAAGCUCUGUCUGUGGGGACGAUAAUGACGGUACG
This 176-nucleotide ribosomal RNA is filed under the name uncultured Clostridium sp. RNAcentral describes it as "partial 16S ribosomal RNA". It matches the Rfam family "Bacterial small subunit ribosomal RNA", at positions 285 to 461 of the family's 1533-position model. The record is from RNAcentral. Lineage: Bacteria; Bacillati; Bacillota; Clostridia; Eubacteriales; Clostridiaceae.